This 676-nucleotide long non-coding RNA is filed under the name Homo sapiens (human). RNAcentral's name for it is "HSALNT0244615". The record is from RNAcentral. Lineage: Eukaryota; Metazoa; Chordata; Mammalia; Primates; Hominidae.
UUGACUACAGCCAAGAGCAGGAUUUCUUGUCCUUAGUGAUUUGAGUGACAAAAAUUUCCAAGGACCCAUGAAUGAAGAAGAGAGAAGCAGAGGGAAAGAGAGAAACUGAUUGAAAAGAUGCAGUCAAAACGGGCGUUAGGAAAAAGAAGGAGGUAAAAGAGGCCAAAAGGCUAAGGAAGAAGAGAAAGCAUGCAGGAAUGAGACACUUUACUAAAGAAACCCAGUUCCUGAGUUUUUUUCCGAUUCAGAAAGGAAUGGGAUGGAAAGCAAAGGUGGAUGUAUCAUCAAUCUAAUUUUGCGGAAAGGAACUGACUUCUUCCAAGAGGGAGGAGGAGGGGCACAGAGCAAUGCAUUCUGGAGCAGAAGCUGCCAGUGCUGGUCCCAGAAGUAACAACCCAGAUCCUGAAGGCAUCUUUCCUGGAAGUUUUCCUAAAAGAUGAUCCAAACACCUAACUAACUAUACUGAUUUACAACAGCACCAACAACAUCAACAACAAACCUAAGGCCCAGAGGCACAAUGUUUGGACCAGCCCAGGAUCCCUCACUCACAAGAACUUCUAUCGGACUUAGCUUAUCCCUCAGAAGACCCUGGACACCACCAAAGGUCAUCAGCACAAUCUUGAUGGAUGUCUAAGAAUUGAAGAUUGAUUUUUGCCUAAUGACAAUAAAGUCAUCA